RNAcentral lists this long non-coding RNA (3658 nucleotides) under Sus scrofa (pig). RNAcentral describes it as "lncRNA (ENSSSCG00055026407.1)". Lineage: Eukaryota; Metazoa; Chordata; Mammalia; Artiodactyla; Suidae. The record is from RNAcentral.
AGAGACAGAGUCCCCGGCAGCAGCGGUGGUGGCAGGGGCAGCGCUCUGGCAGAUUCAUCCCAUCACCUAAAACCUGGUAACAGUGGGCCACACAGAGUCUUACUGGUAAGUAGGUCCAGCGGAGCUCUCUCCAGGAUUUCCUGCUGAGUAAUGGAGGAAGAAGGGAGCCAAGGAUGCUCCAGGUGAAAACCCUCAGCGAAGAUGUCAAGCAAAACAGCCAGCACCAACAACAUCGCGCAGGCAAGGAGGACGGUGCAGCAGUUGAGGAUGGAAGCUUCCAUUGAAAGAAUAAAGGUUUCCAAGGCAUCAGCGGACCUCAUGUCCUACUGCGAGGAACAUGCCAGAAAUGACCCUCUGCUGAUGGGGAUACCAACUUCAGAAAACCCUUUCAAGGAUAAGAAAACCUGCAUCAUCUUAUAGAGGAGAAGUCAAGCAGUCCCGCCCCACGUCCCAACAAAGCAAAUUGUGAGCAGCUCCUUAAAAAGAUUUACCUUCGGCUUAUUUGGUAACCACUGCUAAUCACUAAAAUGCUCUUAGCUUGGAAUCAUCGACUCUGAAGUCUUUAUUUUCCAAGUUGUCCUUGCUCUAAAAUACCCUUUACUGAAUUAAUACAAAAUAGCAGUCUCGUUUUCCCUUUGGUAACUAGUGUGUCAUAUGGGGUGACUGCUGAAGGAAAGUUGAUCUGGCCUUUUCAAAAACACCAUUAAAAUAUAUGAGUGAUCCAGUUAAGACCCCAAUUACCUGAGCAUCCGUCUAGAUUAAAAUGCCAAGACAACUUAAGGCCUAAAACCUUUCUAUCAUCGCGUGUUCUUAAUAGGGUUGUGCCAAUCUGUACAGUAUACAUGGGUGAGGAGUGUUGUGUAUAUAUAUUUGUGUGUUUGUAUAUACACAUCUCAAAGCUUAUUUCCGUACUGAAAUGUCUCUCUCCAUACCAUCUGUUCCUCAGCUCCAAAGCUAUACCUUGAUCGUGAGCUGUGUGUCGGUGGAAUUAAAUUCUUUGCUUGUAGUAACUGUGCACAAAGUCAAGAACUCCCUUACGAUUGUGUGCAUUGUAAUUGAGUAAUGAAGUCAUCUCUCUCCUCUUGAAAUCUUGCUGACCUCCUAGGCUACAAUAAACUGUGCCAAUUAAAAUGUUAAAACCUGAGCUAAAAGCCCUUUUAUAAUAGGAGGUAUGAAUUCACCAAGGGCUUUCAGGCUUCAGUGAUCCUGAGUCUAGAAAAGGGGAGGAGGCCCUUGGGUGGUACCCAGGGCCCAUAGUCUCGGGAUCAGGGGUAGACACAUCUGAAAUUUCCGCUCUCUAACCACGGGAACGAGACAGAGCAGCCUUGAGCCCGGCCGAGAGGGGAGCAGGAAUGCGUGGAAACCAGCUGCUCUCUGUGAUUUAGCUCACGUUCUCUGCCUCCCUGUAUCUUUCCUCUGCUGCCAGAACGUCUGUCUUCAGAGGUCAUCUUCACCUCCCCAAGUGGGUAGAAGGUGAUGGGGCAGAAACACCCAAUGAACGUAAAAGUAUCAAGACACUUAGGCUCUUUUCACAAACUGGUAGCAUCAGCCCCACCCUUACCUUUUCCACGCAACAUCCAAGAGGAUUGGAUUCAUUCAGUGGUUCACUACUUGGGUCCACAGGCUCCAGCAGCUGGUGUCGGGUUCCUUGAUUUCCUCUGGGCAUGAAGCCUGCCCCCACACAUGCACAGCAUUUGCAGCGGGGAUCCCAAAAGAAGGCAUCUCCUAUGGCCAAGAGGCUAUGUUAACUUUACCAGAGAGGAAGAGAGGGUCUUUAUUUUCAAUGCUCACUUACAUUCCCAAACCGUACACUCAGCCUUUGAUGUUAAGUCAGCGUCAGCUCGUUAAAAAUAAUGAUGGAUUAAAACCUUGUUCUCAAAAAGGAGUCAACCCCAAGAAGGAGUUAUGUACCAUGGUUUUCCCUAGUUCUGGACAAUCCAGCCCCGUGGCACAAGCCCCCUUCUCACAUUUGGGCUUUGAGUAUUAGGUUCAUUGCAGGCAAAUGCAACACUGGUUUUAAACUGCUCAAAUAUAGUCCGUAUUUUUCCCAGUCACCUAUCUACUCAGCAUUGUGAACCACCCUGCCUCGUCCAAGACCAUGUGAAAAUCACACCACCGCCCUUACACACUUGUCACCUACCCUUUGGUUCUGCAAUACGUCCAGUUUCCAAGGAAAUCACAGGCACCUGUUGCAGAGAGAAAGGUUUUUUUUUUUUUCCCUCUUUCCAAAGGUGAGAUCUGAAAUGCACAUUAAAGUGACAACUUUACAUUUAAUGCUUCACAUAAUGAGACAUGCUUUUUAAAAUAUUUUUCUAGCAGUAGUUUUAGAACACUAAUCUUAUUUUCUCUCUGAUUUUUACCAUGUUUCCUUAAAUAUUUAUAAUGCAGCUUGUUACAAAAUAUUGUCGUGAAAUUGCUUUUAUUAUACUGGUAUGCACACAUGUUUGGUAGCAAGCAUAGUUUAUCCUUUAGUCCUAAAACACGUUCUUUUACCUAACAGAAAAUAAGUAUGUUUUGCUAUAUAUUUGUUAGUAUGCUUGUAGUGCUAAGGAGUGGACUUGAGGUCCCAGGAGAGUUCACUUUUAUUUUUGCUGGCCAGAUAGAGUAAAGGCUCUGAGCACGAGCAGCUUGUAACUUCCUAACCAGGUAUAGGUCACGUUCAAGCAAAGUGAAAUGAAAUCCUUUGAUGCUGUAGCCAAGGGGGAAAAAAUUGGAGUUAAAUGUUGAUUUACUUAUAACUAGAUGUCUAUGUGAAAAAAAUAUAAUAUAUAUAUAUAUACACACAUAUAUAUAUGAUACACAGAAGUCACUUUUAUUUAUCAGGCUUUAUUCUACUCAUGAAGCCACAGUUAAACUGUUCUGCAGCAGCUGGUUUUUGAUGCUGGUGGACACGUCCAGGAUGUGUUAUUUUUUUCCCACUACCACUGUAAUGACACAUGUAAUCACUUUUGUACAUGCAGCUUCUUGGCUUCAUAGCUAUGAAGCUAUUGAAACAUGUUCACUAUCCUUAGUCUUUAAUGCUGCUUUGGUUAAAAGUGAUCUUUUUCUCUUCUGACAUCUUCAUUAGCUCAUCAUAAUGCUGUCCAUUUGAGGCCUCAGGCCCAUAGCAAGAUACGCUAAGCAGCAUUCCAUGACUCCAAAGUAUUUUACAGAAACACUUUAAAAAAAAAUAGAGAAACCCUUUGUAUAUGAGGUGGUUCACAAACUAGAGGUUGUAGUUACUUUUUUUCCUAAAAAGAAUCAGGUGUCUAACCUGUCCUUCCCGUACCAAAAUGAAAAGGGCCAUGUGUACCCUUUAAAGAAAAGACCUGAUUUGCUCUUUAUUUGCACUAUUUUUGUACUUUACUCAUCUUAAACCAUCAGGAAAAAAAAAAAUCACACCCAUGAUUUAGUAAUUUGGAGGCAUAGGUUAACUGAAGUGAAGGAUGUGCCACACUUGCCCUUCAGAUGCCUUCUUCUUGACCAAUUUGCAGCUAAGAUCGUGUCAUCUGAGUGGUUACUCCCUAUUUUGAUAAGAUGUAUAUAGACCCAAGAAGUGAAUCACAGUACGUGUCAGUCCUUUCUCAAUAAAUAUAAUACCAGAGUGUUUAUAACUUGUAUUGACUUCUUUUAUGGUAGAGCUGUUAAUAGGGAAAAAAAAUACAUUGAAUCAAAUAGA